GUCCUUGAUGAUCUGAUUCCAUGCCAUCUGUCCAACUUCAACUCCAACACUCACCCUCAGCCUUGCCAUCAUCUAUUGUUUCCUGACUUUUAAUAAUCAUCAUUCUGACUGGCGUGAGAUGGUAUCUCAUUGUGGUUUUGAUUUGCAUUUCUCUAAUGACCAGUGAUGAUGAGCCAUAUGCAGAAAACAGAAACUGGACCCCUUCCUUACUCCUUAUACAAAAAUUAACUCAAGAUGGAUUGAAGACUUAAAUGUAAAACCCAAAACCAUAGAAACCCUGGAAGAAAACCUAGGCAAUACCAUUCAGGACAUAGGCAUGGCCAAAGACUUCAUGACUAAAACACCGAAAGCAAUUGCAACAAUAACCAACAUUGACAAAUGAGAUCUAAUUAAACUAAAGAGCUUCUGCACAGCAAAAGAAACUAUCAUCAGAGUGAAAUGGCAACCUACAGAAUGGGAGAAAAUUUUUGCAAUCUACCCAUCUGAUAAAGGUCUAAUAUCUAGAAUCUACAAGGAACUUAAACAAAUUUACAAGAAAAAACAAACAACCCCAUCAAAAAGUGGGUGAAGGAUAUGAACAGACACUUCUCGAAGACAUGUAGGCAGCCAACAAAAAUCUGAGAAUUUGAAUUUCUAACAAGUUCCUGGGUAAUGCUACUGGUCUGCAGACUGCACUCUGAGAACAGCUGCAAGAUGAGGCACACUGACACAAAAUAAUUAAAAAAACAGGAAUUUCUAACCACUUACAAUGACCAAAUGUGAGAUGCAUAGAUUCUGAAAUGAUUAUCUGGGGAAUUGUAAACUCCAGCCAUGCUGUCCACCAUCUUGGGGCUUUUCAGAGAAUAUAGCCAAAGGCAAUAUGCCUGAAAUGUGGGUACUUUUGACAUUGGAUUUGCCAACAGGUCUUUUCUCCAUGAGGACCUCAGCACCCAACAUCUCCCCUCCCAGGUUCAACCUCAGACUAGUUACAAAGCUCCAAAAUGCGAAUGUCAAUGAAGUUGUCUAACUAUUUAAAGGCUAGGAAUGCACAUAUAAAGCAGUCACAAAAUAGUUUUACUUUUCUAAAUAAAAUAAUUGAGUAUCAUCCUUUUGUUAAGUACCUGCUCUUUACUAAAAUUUCAUGAUCUCAUUUUAAAACUUUACCCCUCUGGGCUAAAAAUCAGUGCAGAAGAUGAGAUGCUAUAACCUUUGAUUUAGCCUAAUAAAACAGUAACAAAUAACAUAUUGAGUGGGUGGUUAAAUCUGAUAAUAUUUUGUGCUGAAUUUUCUGUAGUAAUUCAAUUAAAAAUCCUAUUGGCCAGCCACCAGAAAGUAUACAGAUCACCAAAGUUUUAUAGCAUUCCAUAUUUAUUCUUAAAAUAGCCUAUAUUAAUUUGGUGCCUUUACUUACUAACUUAAAUACCUCAAGUAGAGUUUCUUCCAAAUAUAAUUUAGAAUAACCAUUUAUAUUUGUGCUGUUUAAAAAUCUCUGUUGGCUCAUGCCACUGCAGUCCUUAAAAUUCCCAUUAAAGAGAGAAAAAAACUAAUUAGAAAGAGAAUAUAUUACAAAAGCUGUAUUAAUAUGACCCCCACAAUAUUUCUUAAAGCUUCUGAAGAACCAAUUUACUCUGGCUCCUCUAUGCUUUCCUUCAAUUAGUAGGGCCCCCAGAAAAGCAAAAUUGCCACUCAAAGAAAGCUGAAGCCAUUCAGAAUCACUGAAUUGUUUGGUUGCAUUUAAUCCUGCCAGGGUUCCUAGCCAAGGAGUCAAUGAUCCUAGGCUCUCUUCAUGCCUUUUCCAAUGACAGCCUUGAAGCAUUCCAGAAAACUUUAGCACUUCCUUUUUUAACCAAAAAUUGCACAUAACUCUCCCAAAUUCUUAGUCUAUAAUUUCUCAUAAAACUCUUUGAGAUCCUCUUGUGAAGACAAAUGGCAAGGAUUAUUGGACUUUAAAUUGUGAUCCUUCAAUAUUAUAUGCACUAGAUCAUAACUCUAUGGCUUUGGUUCCCUCAUAAAACUAAACCACAGAGUCAUUCUUUUCAUUUCAAGCUUAACAGCACACAGGCCCAUGGGUGAAGCAAUAUAAACACUCUGGAGUAAUUUCUCAAAACCAAAUCUCUUCUCAAAAACAGACUAGCAACUCAGUGGUGUGUAAUCUCUCCUCUGAACCUGUGAAGUUUGUAGUUCUCAGGCCACCCAAGUAGAAUAAUGAGAAUAAUGUUCAUGUGUUAACGUGGGGCAGGCCUAAGAAUUUUCUGUAAUUACAGAACUGGGGGUUAGAACCAGUUCUACCAUUCUGUUGCCCCAGAUAAGUCACCAAGUCAGGUGAUUCCUUUUGGGGGAGAAAAGUGAAGUCUCAGGUUUACAGAUUUUUAUUUUUUACCUUAGUUCACAGAAUUUGUUUAAUCGAAAUCACUGGUUUAUGACACGCUCUGGCCAUUGGUCCAUGCAUGGCCCUCUUUUUUAAUUUAUUACUUUAAAUUGGCAUUUUUAACACACAUACUCUAAGGUAUAUAGCUGAGAAAAAAUUUUGCAAAAUAUGCACUGAAGUAUUCAUAUAAAUGUUCAUAGUUGUACUAUUACAAUAGCAAAAACCUGGAAAAAAUCAGAUGUCCAUUGUCAGGAUACUGUAGUAGACUUUCACAGGGGAAUAGUAAACAAGAGUCAAAUGAAUAAACUACAGCUAUUCACAACAAUAUGGAGUUAUUUAAUGUUUCUGAGUCUCUGUUUUGACCUCCUAAAUGAAGACAAUAUCAUUUACCUUAUUAUUUUCUGAAAAUAAAGCAGAUACUGUAGGCAAAAACCCUUAGAAAAUUAUAACUAGUAAAUGUUACUAUAACUAGUUAAUGUCACUUAUUUUCCUCCAUAUUCCCGAUCACUUCUCAGGUUGUACAAGAAUAAUCUGGAAACAUCACACUAAAGAAGAGGAAAGCAGUAUAAUCUGGAGGACUCAAAUUUAGAGUCACACCAAAGGGAUCCAAAUCCCUGAUUCAGCAAUUAUUUUCUGUGUGAACUCAGACACCUGCCUGGUCAGGUCACGAGGGAAGAAACUGGGACCUGAAACUAGACCUACCCAUCAGAGAGGAUGGCUCAGUUGCAGGUGCUGGGAGAAUGUCCAGUCUGGCAAGCAGAACAAAGUAUCUGAAGAAUAUGGCAGAACACAAGGAUUGAUAAUGCAGCCAGGAAAUUGGUAUCAGGAGGCAAACAUGAAAGAGCAGAAGUUCACUCAAUACGAAACCACGGCUUGGUGCCAAGAAGCAGCUAAACGUGUCCCAAAUUCAGGCAGGCAGCAUCAGAAAGCCUUAUCUACCAUAGUAGAGCCACAGUCAGACUGUGGAACAGGAGCUGGACCCCGGUGGCUAAGAGAGAGAAAGAAUGGCAAACGUAAGGUUGGGUCUUAGGUGUUCUUAGAGGACCUGGGCAGACCUGGCAAACUUUUAAAACAGGAACUCAAUUCUGGGUAAUGGGAGAAGAAUGCGGGUAUGAGAACUGCAGCAUAAGGUAGAUACUGAAUCCAAGGAACGAGAGACAUACAUGACUCUAGAAAUUACAGCAAAAGCCAAAGGCAGACCGGAAGCCAAACUAGCUUGAUGCUAAGGAAGAAAAGUAUUGGAUUGGAACUCCUUAAAUGCCUCCUCUCCCAGGUAAAGCCUGGCCACAGGGAGCUUAGAAGGCUGAGUGAACAGGCUGAAGUCAUGGUGAGCAGAGAGGUCUGCAGAGACUGGAAACUAGGAAGGACUUGACAAUAACAAGAUCAGGAAAACCAGGCCCAUAGUUCCAAUUUUGUAAUCAAUAUAAUUACCCUGAAACUUUCUAAGCAACAAGUAGCAGCACUCUUAUUUAAAUCAAAUCUCGCACGUAUAAUUAAGAAAAUCCAUGUAUGUUUGUUUUAAUGAAUUUGACCUAUAGUAACAAGAUGGGUUAUUUUUGCUGCUCAGUCCACUGUCCACAGAAGAUGAAAAAUAAAAGUAACCCUUUUCCUAUUUUUCUCUCCUUUUCAUUAGUGUGUAAAUUUAACCUAUGAAAAUGAAUUGCCUUUCUGAAUUUCUUCUCAUCUCUGAAAUACAAAGAUGUCUCUCUCUAAAAAAACAGUAAAUACAUUUUUUAAGUUUUUGUCAUUCUUCUGAGAGCAACAUCUUCUAACAGGGCCCUAAAGCAUUGAACCCUAAUAAUAAAAAUGCAAUAUAAAAGUUAUUAAUGUAUUUAGCACACCACUAUGUGUUACUACCUGCCACAAAGUGACACUCACACACAAAAUGUCUGUCAUACCCAUGGCCCAAUUCACUUUGGAGAAGAAUCACCAAAUAGCCAUCCUUGGAAGUCAAGGAUCUCCUCUUUUGGUAUGAACACUCAUAAGAUGAAGACAGAGUAGUUUCAUAAGCCAAACAUGCCCAUUUCUGUUGUGACAGCCUACCCCUA
This 4395-nucleotide long non-coding RNA is filed under the name Homo sapiens (human). Its description in RNAcentral is "HSALNT0058626". Lineage: Eukaryota; Metazoa; Chordata; Mammalia; Primates; Hominidae. The record is from RNAcentral.